Molecule: long non-coding RNA, 259 nt
Filed under: Pan troglodytes (chimpanzee)
Lineage: Eukaryota; Metazoa; Chordata; Mammalia; Primates; Hominidae
Description: long non-coding RNA NONPTRT004574
Source: RNAcentral
GAAGGUACUUGCUCCCCCUUCGCCUUCAGCCAUGAUUGUAAGUUUCCUGAGGCAGUGUUUGUCUAAGCAGGAGGGUUUGCCUACUUUAGGUUUGCCCAGUUUGGAUGGAAUGCUAAAUGUUUGCAUGGUCAUUCACGUCUCUUACAAAAUGUCCUGAGUAAGAUUAUUCCAUUUUCGAUUCCCUUGGGUUUUUUUGUUUGUUCGUUUGUCUUUUGAGAUGGAGUCUUGCUCUGUCAACCAGGCUGGAGUGCAGUGGCAC